This 424-nucleotide ribosomal RNA is filed under the name uncultured prokaryote. RNAcentral's name for it is "bacterial SSU rRNA". It matches the Rfam family "Bacterial small subunit ribosomal RNA", at positions 355 to 796 of the family's 1533-position model. The record is from RNAcentral.
UGGGGAAUAUUGGACAAUGGGCGAAAGUCUGAUCCAGCAAUGCCGCGUGAGUGAUGAAGGCCUUAGGGUUGUAAAGCUCUUUUACCAGGGAUGAUAAUGACAGUACCUGGAGAAUAAGCUCCGGCUAACUCUGUGCCAGGAGCCGCGGUAAUACAGAGGGUGCAAACGUUGCUCGGAAUGACUGGGCGUAAAGCGCGCGCAGGUGGCCCGUUAAGUCGGCUGUGAAAUCCCCUGGCUCAACCAGGGAAGUGCAGUCGAUACUGGCGGGCUCGAGUCCCGGAGAGGGUGGUAGAAUUCCCAGUGUAGAGGUGAAAUUCGUAGAUAUUGGGAGGAAUACCGGUGGCGAAGGCGACCGCCUGGACGGGUACUGACACUGAGGCGCGAAAGCGUGGGGAGCAAACAGGAUUAGAUACCCGCGUAGUCC